GAAUGAUUUGCCAGAGAUGCAGAAACUUCUUUGUGAGCUGGGAUUGAAGGAAAGAGAUUCUACACAUAUUCAGAUGUGCCAGCUGUCACUGCUGGAGUUGUCAACUAGUGAGCCAGAAGAUUCACUCCAUUGUACAACCUCAGCACCGUGAAGGCAGAGCAAAGAAUCAGAAGUUGUCUGGCGACAAAGGUGUUACUCAAAGAAAGCUGACAGCAACAACUCACGGAAGGAUCGAUGGCGGAUUACGAGGCUCAUGGAGCUGCAUAGAGAGGAG
Neolamprologus brichardi is the source of this 274-nucleotide long non-coding RNA. RefSeq lists it as uncharacterized. NCBI's taxonomy places the organism in Eukaryota, Metazoa, Chordata, Actinopteri, Cichliformes, Cichlidae. The record is from RefSeq and is a predicted model, not a curated record.